UCCCAUAUUAUAACCUCUCAGGUUAUUUAAUCACCACACCUAAUAUAUAUAUUAGGUUACAUAACUUAAUUCUUACUUCACCCUUAUAUACAAAAUAAAUGUAUUCACAUUAUAUAAUGUAUAUUUAUUUACUCAUAUCCAUAAUUCACAUAAUCAUAACAUAUUUCACUUCUCACACUAAUUUUGACUUUUCUCCAUAAAAAGUUAACUGUUGACUUUGACCAAAAGUCAACCUUUACACAUUUUGUGCUUACUGUCCAUUCUGACUAAACUCGACGUUUUGGACGCAAUCGAGCAGUCCAUGCUUCAAAAUUCUAUCUCUAACUCAAAUUUUGAGUUUUAAAUUACUCCAUUCUCAUUACUAAUCGUAUUAACUAACGACUUUAUACUUAUUCAAAUUCUUAUUUGCCAAUCAAGGCCAACACUCAAGCUAUGUUAAUUACUAACAUAGUUUUAAUCUUGAUCAUUAUAUCAUUAACUUAAUUCAUCAUUCUUCUUGCUUAAAUAUAUAUAGCACAUUACUAAGUAUAUAUAUAUUUCUAUACAUAUACUCAUCUUCGUUUAACCUCAUAGCAUCUCUUCAUGUGAAAUCUUAUUUCCAAUAAUAAAAUUUCCAUAUGUACUUAUAUAACAUUUCUUAGACUAUUCAGUUCACAUCGAAUUUACAGGUAUCGUAAUACCUUAUUCUUGAUAUUCCUUCAAGUACAUAUUAAUUCAUUUCUAGGGUUUUGGAAUUUUGUAACCCAUAUUUUCUCUAUUCUCAUUCGAAUAUCAAACCAUAUAGGUUUUUCUUGAAAAUUUUAAAUAAAUUCUCAAAUUCUCAUCUAGGUUUUAUUCUUUAAC
This 843-nucleotide long non-coding RNA is filed under the name Panax ginseng (ginseng). Its description in RNAcentral is "long non-coding RNA (PGIN_LNC002665)". The record is from RNAcentral. Lineage: Eukaryota; Viridiplantae; Streptophyta; Magnoliopsida; Apiales; Araliaceae.